AUCUCGCGGCCUAUCAGCUUGUUGGUGGGGUAAUGGCCUACCAAGGCGUCGACGGGUAGCCGGCCUGAGAGGGCGACCGGCCACACUGGGACUGAGACACGGCCCAGACUCCUACGGGAGGCAGCAGUGGGGAAUAUUGCGCAAUGGACGAAAGUCUGACGCAGCAACGCCGCGUGAGGGAUGACGGCCUUCGGGUUGUAAACCUCUUUCAGCAGGGACGAAGCGAGAGUGACGGUACCUGCAGAAGAAGGACCGGCCAACUACGUGCCAGCAGCCGCGGUAAUACGUAGGGUCCGAGCGUUGUCCGGAAUUAUUGGGCGUAAAGGGCUCGUAGGCGGUUCGUCACGUCGGGAGUGAAAACUCGGAGCUCAACUCCGAGCCUGCUUCCGAUACGGGCAGACUAGAGGUAGGCAGGGGAGAGCGGAACUCCUGGUGUAGCGGUGGAAUGCGCAGAUAUCAGGAAGAACACCGGUGGCGAAGGCGGCUCUCUGGGCCUUACCUGACGCUGAGGAGCGAAAGCGUGGGUAGCGAACAGGAUUAGAUACCCUGGUAGUCCACGCCGUAAACGUUGGGCGCUAGGUGUGGGGGACAUUCCACGUCCUCCGUGCCGCAGCUAACGCAUUAAGCGCCCCGCCUGGGGAGUACGGAAGCUUGGAAUUCG
Molecule: ribosomal RNA, 661 nt
Filed under: uncultured Kribbella sp.
Lineage: Bacteria; Bacillati; Actinomycetota; Actinomycetes; Propionibacteriales; Kribbellaceae
Description: bacterial SSU rRNA
Rfam family: Bacterial small subunit ribosomal RNA
Source: RNAcentral